Molecule: long non-coding RNA, 1487 nt
Filed under: Homo sapiens (human)
Lineage: Eukaryota; Metazoa; Chordata; Mammalia; Primates; Hominidae
Description: HSALNT0198550
Source: RNAcentral
UGUGAAAAUGGCAACAUGAGAAACGUAUAUAGUUUCCAAGGACCAUCAGUUUCAGGAACUGCCUUUGCCAGCCUCCCUGUAUGCCUUCACACCCAAUACCCACCCCUCACAGGAACCCUGAGCACUCUCUUGCUUUGGAACCAAGGAACUGGUGCACGUGGAGGGGUUUGGAUUUGUUGGCUCCUCGAAACACAUUCCUGCUCUGUUGUUCUGCAAAAAGAAAAUUUGUAAAACUGGGAACAUGAGAAAGCCAGACAGACCUUUGCUCUCUUCCACGAAUGUGGAGUCAUAAAUGAAGAAGUGAAGCAUCUACCACCAGACGGUCCCACUGCUUCCAAGUGGCACACUACCUCCGAGUCAGCACGGUUUCACCCCUGGGAGUGGUUCCCCUGGGGUUCUGCCUGCAGGACAUCUGACCGCUCUCCCUGUGCCCCCGCGAUUUGAGGCGUCUGUCUUCAGCUCCGCACAGGUCCUCUUAGCCUAUUACUCAAUUAGAAAGGGCCCCAUCCUGGACAUCACAUUGCAUUUCAUGGUCCUGUCUCCUUGCUGCUUCUGGUCUGUGACAGUUUCUCAGUCUUUUCCCUGUUUUUCAUAACCUUGACAGUUUUUAGAAGUCAUGGGUCAGGUAUCUUGAAGAAUAUCUCUUAAUUUGGGUUUGUAUGAUGUUCUUAUAAUUGAUUGGGAUUGUGAGUUCCUAGAAAGAAUAUCAGAGGAGAAGAGCCCUUCUCAUAUAUCAUAUUGGGAGUACAUGAUAUCUACAAGACAUCGCUGGUGACGCUGACCUUCAUCUCUUGGUUCAGCUCAUGGUAGUCCUGUGAGGUGCAGAGAUGGAAGAGAUGAAAGCUUGAAGGCUUGAGUUUCUGAUAAAAGUUUAAAGGCCUGGAGUAACACCCCACAGCUAGGAAGUGGGUAAUGUCUUUAAAAUCUCACUACACAAAGUACUGGCUUUGUGAAAAGGCUCUGACCUAUUUUGCCCUGCCUGGAUUGGUUUUAACAUCAUGUAGAUACUUCACUGGCUUUGUCUACUAACCCCAUGCCUGGGGAAUUAUAAGGAAGGGAUUCGGGCACCGUGUUGUCUGCGGCAUGAAUCUUGCCAGGCUGUGGCUGUCACCAAGGUUAUUGGACACUCCUCCCUGAGCAGGACCCACCUGGGAGGCAUGCAGAUGACAAGUGCCACUCAACCUUUUCCUCAGUGCCUGCUGGGCCCCGUGUGCAUGUUCAGGUAAUGAGAGGAACCUCGGAGCAAGUGGAGUAAGUGAGUGUGGUCACUCCAACAACAGACCAACCCAUGAGAGGUCUGAUUUCACGUUAAAAUGGGAAAUAUUUGGUUGAAUGGAAUUGACGGAAAGGCAGGAAUAGCCUUUCUCAUUCCCUCAUGGAUAGAAAAAAUGCACAAACCACGUUAUCUGUUGGGUUGCAUGGAAUCGCUCUGACUGUUUUAUUACCACCAUUCACGUAGCAUUUUAUGUGAAAGGGAAUGCUGGGCG